RNAcentral lists this ribosomal RNA (466 nucleotides) under uncultured bacterium. RNAcentral's name for it is "partial 16S ribosomal RNA". It matches the Rfam family "Bacterial small subunit ribosomal RNA", at positions 28 to 507 of the family's 1533-position model. The record is from RNAcentral.
GAUGAACGCUGGCGGCGUGCUUAACACAUGCAAGUCGAACGAUGAAGCCCAGCUUGCUGGGUGGAUUAGUGGCGAACGGGUGAGUAACACGUGAGUAACCUGCCCUUAACUCUGGGAUAAGCCUGGGAAACUGGGUCUAAUACCGGAUAGGAGCGUCCACCGCAUGGUGGGUGUUGGAAAGAUUUAUCGGUUUUGGUUGGACUCGCGGCCUAUCAGCUUGUUGGUGAGGUAAUGGCUCACCAAGGCGACGACGGGUAGCCGGCCUGAGAGGGUGACCGGCCACACUGGGACUGAGACACGGCCCAGACUCCUACGGGAGGCAGCAGUGGGGAAUAUUGCACAAUGGGCGCAAGCCUGAUGCAGCGACGCCGCGUGAGGGAUGACGGCCUUCGGGUUGUAAACCUCUUUCAGUAGGGAAGAAGCGAAAGUGACGGUACCUGCAGAAGAAGCACCGGCUAACUACGUG